Molecule: ribosomal RNA, 429 nt
Filed under: Acidobacteriota bacterium
Lineage: Bacteria; Pseudomonadati; Acidobacteriota
Description: Acidobacteria bacterium partial 16S ribosomal RNA
Rfam family: Bacterial small subunit ribosomal RNA
Source: RNAcentral
UGGGGAAUUUUGGACAAUGGGGGAAACCCUGAUCCAGCCAUCCCGCGUGUGCGAUGAAGGCCUUCGGGUUGUAAAGCACUUUUGGCAGGAAAGAAACGUCAUGGGUUAAUACCCCGUGAAACUGACGGUACCUGCAGAAUAAGCACCGGCUAACUACGUGCCAGCAGCCGCGGUAAUACGUAGGGUGCAAGCGUUAAUCGGAAUUACUGGGCGUAAAGCGUGCGCAGGCGGUUCGGAAAGAAAGAUGUGAAAUCCCAGAGCUCAACUUUGGAACUGCAUUUUUAACUACCGGGCUAGAGUGUGUCAGAGGGAGGUGGAAUUCCGCGUGUAGCAGUGAAAUGCGUAGAUAUGCGGAGGAACACCGAUGGCGAAGGCAGCCUCCUGGGAUAACACUGACGCUCAUGCGCGAAAGCGUGGGGAGCAAACAGG